CCCCAUCUCUUUCAGCCUGUCCUCGUAGGGGAGUGUUCCAGGUGACGUUGCACCAGCACAGAGCGGAAGGCGGGAUCACUUCUCUCAACCUGCUGGCCAGUUUUCGACACAGCCGAGGAUCCGGUUGCCUUUCUGGGCUGGACAAACACGAACCCACCCAAGUGGCAGAAGGGAAGCAUUGCAUCAAGGCAUUCGCUGGACUGACUUUGCCUUCAACAGAGCGUGAAGCUCCUGGGAUCAGGAUACCGAGGAGUAUUGCUCCUGGCUUUGUAUGGAGAAGCAGACAGAAGUCAGCAGAUGCAUUGCCUUUCUGCGUAUUCCUGGAAGAGCUAUGCAUCCUGAAGAAUAAGGUUAAGCAGCACUUGGUUUACAUCAGUGGUCCUUUAAUGAUCACUUAGCUAUUUCCUGCAGUGAGAUCUUCCUUCAGGACAAAGCUCUGCUCUGGCAUGUUGUGAUGCCGCCUCCGGUUCCGCUAGCUUUCACAGCUCAGAGUGUGCGCCGCUGCUGAAGGAGCUGUGGAGCAGUGACAGCCCUUCCCACCAAUUCAUGCAUCAGCCUGGAAACAGCCUUGAGAGCCACCAGCAGACAAUUAGAUUCAUAGCACAUUGAAGGAAACAGCAACAGCUUUUUUUUUUCUGUUAGAUGGAGAAAUGAAAACUAAAGUUUGAGAUGUUUUUGCAGCCAAAGUUGGUUAUAGGAAAACCAAUAAAUGUGUUCCUACAUUAAAGAGAAAAAGAGCAGAAUUUGAAAAGUUUCCAAGUCUACAUUCUUCUUGUUGGUUUUCCAUGACAUUUUAACUAUGAUAAAGAAAUCAAUAUGCUUUCAAUGCUUCAGUGUGAUUUUUUGUUUGACAUCUCCUAUAGCCAUUAACAGAAUACGUGAUACUGCAGUACUCCCAGCCUGAGCACGCUGUGGUGCUGCACAGGAAGGGAUGAGUGUUGCCUUUUCUUAGUCCUCCUCAGGGCUGCUGUGCAACAGUUCAUCAAUGAAGAAGGAAAAGAGCAAAUAAUCCAAAAUGAUUUCUGUUCUUUUUUGGUUUCAAACUACAGUAUGAUUGGCUGCCUCACACUACACUCUCUUUCAGUAUUUAGGCAAAUGCAUUAGGACAAAAUUUCUCCUUGCACUCAGUAAACUGAUCUGUUGACACUGUCCUCUUACAGAUCCCUGGGUUUUCAUAUGUAUCACCUGAUUAGAAAAACAUGAGUUCAGAGAGAACAUCAUUUCUGUGAUCCAGUACUAUUUCAGGCAGACCCAAACCCCCCAGUCAAUGGAAAGCUUUUACUGUUGAACUUUGUUGCUUAUAUGGCUGAACCAGGCUCAGUA
Lagopus leucura (white-tailed ptarmigan) is the source of this 1323-nucleotide long non-coding RNA. RefSeq lists it as uncharacterized. Lineage: Eukaryota; Metazoa; Chordata; Aves; Galliformes; Phasianidae. The record is from RefSeq and is a predicted model, not a curated record. The transcript is spliced from 3 exons.